UACGGAGGUGACAAGCGUUGUCCGGAUUUACUGGGCGUAAAGAGCGCGCAGGCGGUCGUGCAAGUCGAGUGUGAAAGCCCCCGGCUCAACUGGGGAGGGUCAUUCGAUACUGAUCGACUCGAAGGCAGGAGAGGGAAGUGGAAUUCCCGGUGUAGUGGUGAAAUGCGUAGAUAUCGGGAGGAACACCAGUGGCGAAGGCGACUUCCUGGCCUGUUCUUGACGCUGAGGCGCGAAAGCUAGGGGAGCAAACGGG
This 253-nucleotide ribosomal RNA is filed under the name uncultured bacterium. RNAcentral's name for it is "partial 16S ribosomal RNA". It matches the Rfam family "Bacterial small subunit ribosomal RNA", at positions 524 to 776 of the family's 1533-position model. The record is from RNAcentral.